UUCCGUAGGUGAACCUGCGGAAGGAUCAUUAAAAAAUUGGACUCCAUUGGUGAGUUCAUUAAUAAUCCCUACCCUUUGUGAAUUUGUUUGUUUGAAUAAUUUUUUUUCCAAAAAAAAAUUAUUGAAUGUCUUUCCCUGUUUUGGUGGAGCUUGUAAAGUGAAACCAGGCAGGGGAAUGGCAAACAAUAAUUAUUUUUGAAAAAAGACCUUUUUUUAAAUUAAACUUUUUGUAUCAUUUGUCUAAAAUUAUUUUUAUAAUAUAAAAACAACUUUUGACAAUGGAUCUCUUGGUUCUCGCAACGAUGAAGAACGCAGCAAAAUGCGAUAAGUAGUGUGAGUUGCAGAAUACGUGAAUCAUCGAAUCUUCGAACGCAUAUUGCACUUUUUUAGUUUACUAAAAAGUAUGUCUGUUUGAGUAUCAGUAAAAUAUUCUCAUAAAAAACAUUGUUUUUUAUGGUUAUGAGUGUUUUACAACGAUAACAAGUUGUUUCACUUUAAAUUCUUUGUAAUCAAAAAAAUCAUUAAAAGCUAAUUUUAAAGAUUUUUUAAAAUUGGAUAAAAUUUUCCCGUAAAAAGGAAUAACCUAAACAAUUUUAAAAAAUUAAAAUUGGUUUGAUUUUUUUUGAAACCCAAAGGAAAAAAAAACGAAAUUAACUUGAUCUCAAAUCAGAUAAGAGUACCCGCUGAACUUAAGCAUAUCAAUAAGCGGAGGAAAAGAAACUAACUAGGAUUCCCUCAGUAACGGCGAGUGAAGCGGGAAGAGCUCAAAUUUGAAAUCUUCAAGGUUUUACCUUGACGAAUUGUAGUUUAAAGAAGUGUUUUCUGUUGGAGUUUUGGUAAAAGUUCUUUGGAAAAGGACAUCAUAGAGGGUGAGAAUCCCGUAUUGACCAUUAUCUCCAGCUUUGUGAUACACUUUCAAAGAGUCGGAUUGUUUGGGAAUGCAGUCCAAAAUGGGUGGUAAAUUUCAUCUAAAGCUAAAUACUGGCGAGAGACCGAUAGCGAACAAGUACCGUGAGGGAAAGAUGAAAAGAACUUUGAAAAGAGAGUUAAACAGUACGUGAAAUUGUCAAAAGGGAAGCGUUUGACACCAGUGUUGUUUUCUCGAAAAUCAAUUAAAAAAGGCCGGAUUUUGUGUUGUAUUGACUUUAUCAGCUUUCUGCACUUUUUUCUUGUCUUUUUUAAUGCACUUUUCGUUUAACAAGUCAACAUCAAUUUCUUUUGUUGUAAAAGGGUCAUUGGAAGGUGGCUUUCUUUUCGGAGAAAGUGUUUAUAGCCUCUGGCCUCUGCAAUCGGAGAGAUUGAGGUCUGCAGCGUAGAUCCUUCGGGUUAGAUACAUUUGUGCUAAGUUAUAGCCUUUCAUAGACAACUUGUUGACUAUGAUCAGUCAUGUAGCUUACUCGCUUAUGCUAUUUUACCUACGCUUAGGAUGUUG
RNAcentral lists this unclassified non-coding RNA (1432 nucleotides) under uncultured Neocallimastigales. RNAcentral's name for it is "partial contains small subunit ribosomal RNA, internal transcribed spacer 1, 5.8S ribosomal RNA, internal transcribed spacer 2, and large subunit ribosomal RNA". The stretch from base 657 to 1432 matches the Rfam family "Eukaryotic large subunit ribosomal RNA", at positions 1 to 628 of the family's 3401-position model. The record is from RNAcentral. Lineage: Eukaryota; Fungi; Neocallimastigomycota; Neocallimastigomycetes; Neocallimastigales.